RNAcentral lists this ribosomal RNA (501 nucleotides) under uncultured bacterium. Its description in RNAcentral is "partial 16S ribosomal RNA". It matches the Rfam family "Bacterial small subunit ribosomal RNA", at positions 28 to 523 of the family's 1533-position model. The record is from RNAcentral.
GUUGAACGCUGGCGGCAUGCCUUACACAUGCAAGUCGAACGGCAGCACGGGUGCUUGCACCUGGUGGCGAGUGGCGAACGGGUGAGUAAUAUAUCGGAACGUACCUUAUUGUGGGGGAUAACGCAGCGAAAGCUGUGCUAAUACCGCAUAAUCCCUAAGGGGGAAAGCGGGGGACCGUAAGGCCUCGCGCAAUUAGAGCGGCCGAUACCUGAUUAGCUGGUUGGUGAGGUAAAGGCUCACCAAGGCAACGAUCAGUAGCUGGUCUGAGAGGACGAUCAGCCAAACUGGGACUGAGACACGGCCCAGACUCCGCCAGGAGGCAGCAGUGGGGAAUUUUGGACAAUGGGGGCAACCCUGAUCCAGCAAUGCCGCGUGAGUGAAGAAGGCCUUCGGGUUGUAAAGCUCUUUUGUCAGGGAAGAAACAGCAGCUCUAACACAGUUUGCGAAUGACGGUACCUGAAGAAUAAGCACCGGCUAACUACGUGCCAGCCGCCGCAGUAA